Molecule: non-coding RNA, 3755 nt
Organism: Cricetulus griseus (Chinese hamster)
Lineage: Eukaryota; Metazoa; Chordata; Mammalia; Rodentia; Cricetidae
Source: RefSeq, a predicted model, not a curated record
CGGCCUCAUUCUCUCCAAAGUUGAGCGUCAUCCUCUCUGAAACUCCCUGUCUAGUCUUCCUGCACACACUAGGUCCAGCUCUCAGACGCCUAUCCAUUCGGUCUCACGAUCCCCCCACCCAAUGCUUUCCGCCAAACCCGGAGGACCACUGGGACCCUUGCUCUGUGUCAUUUAUUCAGAAACUACUGCGUGCCUAUUACUUGUGCCUCCUAGUAAACGGCCGAUCCCUGUCUUCACAGAACUUGCACGCUGAUGGGGACCAUGAGAAGCGACAGCUGUCGUUGCUAUGGUAGAAGACAGGUAUGUGUGCUGGGAGUGUUCAACUGUCCUCAGGUUCUCAGGUGCAGAAGGAGGCUCCCAGAGGAAGUGACUAAGCUGAAGACCAGAAAUGCAAGUCGGAGGAAGCCAGACACAGCUGUCCACCACAUUUAUUUACUGAUUACUGUGUUUCCACUUGGGAGGGCUGAGCACCCAUUACGUCAACCAAUCUCUACGACCACGCUUUGGGGUCUCUGCUUCCUCAAUUGUGUUUGUUGCUUCCUGAUGAAGCCUGCCUAAACUCUGGACAUCCUUAGCUAAGAGCCUUAGGGUGGGAUCCAUUUCUCUAGCAAAGUCCUAGGAAGAAAAGAUGGUUUUUGUUUGUGGGGAGAAAUUACCAAGAAUUGAAUCACCCACCAGACACCAGAACACAAAAGAGGGACUUGUGGCAAACGCAUGGAUCAGAAUUAUCAGAACAGCAGCGAAUAGAGGAGCAUGAAGCAACUGAAACCCUGUCUACAGCCCUCCUUGGGACUGCUCCUCUGAGGGGUGGGGCCGCUUUCGCAACACUCAGGAACUGCUCUAGCGCUACCAGAAGAAGCCACUAGCUCCCUCUGCUGGCUACUUCAUGUUUUACACCAAGAUUCUGCAGGUAACCCGGAAAAAGUCUUCCACCUCCAUGGUGGAAGCCUUAAAGAGCCCCUGAAGAACCCUGUAGCCUGCAGAAAACUUUGAGUGCCACAGCUACCACUGAUACUUAGUGGUUAUACAGUCUGUCUCCCACAGACUACACGGCUUUGAUACAAACCUGUGGUCACCCCAGAAAGAAGAGGCCAACACUGCAGUAACUUACCCAGCUACCCACCCCAUUAGUCUCCACCCUCUUUGCACUCCUGGCUACAGUCUUAUGGUCUCAACCCACUGUGGACUUUUGGGGUAGAGAUACCUCCUGUCUCAUUUGAGACUUGGGGCAAAAGAGGGAUUUAAAACAACGUGAAAGACUGUGUGCUGACAGGUUUCAUGUCAAUUUGAUGCGAACUAGAGUCAUCUGAGGGAAGGAAUCCUUAAUUGAGAAAUUGUCUCCAUCUGGCUGUAGGCAAGCCUGUAGGGCAUUUUUUAAAUUAGUGAUUAAUGGGCGGGGGGAGGACCCGCCCGUGGACAGGUGGUCCUUGGUGUUCUAUAAGAGAGCAGGUUGAGCAAGCCAGUAAGCAGCGUUUCUCCGAGGCCUCUGCAUCAGCUUCUACCUCCCGGUUCCUGCCGUUUGAGUGCCUGUUCUGGCUUCCUCUCCGCCUAAGUUGCUUUGAUCCUGGUCACCUAAGACGGAUGGCAAAUGGCAGAGGAUGAGCAAGAGGUACAGAUCUCCCAAAGAGAAGCAAAAGACUGCUCUCAAGAGAUGGGGAGGAAAAGGGUUUGAAAUAUAUCAAUGCAUGAUUUCCUGGCUUUACAAGUUUUGCUAGUGAAAGAUCUGGUGUUGCUUGGGGGUUCUGCCUCUUGAAGGAAUCCGUACAGACUCCUACAGCCCAGUCCCAAGAGUCCUCCAAAUCCAGUUCCCGGUAAUAUUUCCCUGAGAAGAAGCUCUGUGAGCCACAGGUCGUCACAUAGCAUCCAACAGGAUACCCAGAUGGAUCCUGAUGAGGUCCAAAGCUGACUUCUCAUGACAUUACAUCUUGUAAUGGAGCUUGACUAUAUUCAAACAAAAUGUGUGCUUGAAAGGACUGGAAACUUUCAGUCAGUCCAUUGAUGGGUAAGGCCUGGAGUUCUGAUUUCAGAGCCUGGGGCAUGCUCAGCUGCAUUGACUCAUGCAUUUGGAACAUGUCGUCCAAACCCUGGAGAAGUGCCAAGUAUGGUUUCUGGGACAUUGCCAUCAGCUGCUGAUACAUUUCUUCAUUGCUCUCUAGGAGCAUCAUGGCUUCACUUUCCCUGAGUGUAUCUACAACACAUUGGCCUUCAUUUUCCAUAUACUCCAUACAUUGCUCUUCCUCUUCACUGGGGACUGGAUACCAUGUCCUGGAUACUCUGUCCUGAUCAUUUCUUCCUGCUGAGUCAAGUGUUCUGUCAACUGAGUUGCCAUUCUCCUCUCGGCCUCGAGAUUCUCCUGAUUUUCUUGGCUAUUCCCCAAAAAGAUGCCAUUUGUUUUAGAAGUCUCUCCACUUGGCCCUCAGCAGCUGCUUCAAUGGGACAGUUUGUGUGAGCGUUGUGCUCGGGGGAGUCGGAGCACAGUUGACAGAGGUAGACACAGAAGGUCGUCCUCAUCUCCUUGUGGGUCACACACUUAUGUUCCUUGGAGCUCAGGGAUUUCAUGAGGCUGGCUUGUCUGGCAAUGGACACCAGCUUCUUCAGAACAAUGGUUCUGAAGUCCUUCUGUCAGGAUGGUUCCCUACACGUAGGGCAAUGGGCAGGAAGUUGGCUUUCACGAGAAAUGGAGGCAGGCCCUACAGAAGCUGUGGCCACAGCUUAUGGUGACUGGGUCUGUGAAGUAGCUCUCACAGAUGAAGCAGGUGAGUUUGUAAGACUCCCGGAAAGCUCAGGCCUCCAGGAUCUCAGCCCAGGAUCACGUUUACCCCCAAUCACCAGGUAGAGUCGAAAGCUUGAUGUAAACUGCAUGAGGCUUUAUUGUUUAAUGAGCUAACCCCGUGUUAGCUUGGGUCUUUCAACUGGUUGCAGCCGCCAACCACCCCAGACCUCUAGUUCGAAGAGAGGGGGAAAAAAGUCAAAGGGUCACUGUGCUCUCUGGCAGUCUCUUGUGGCGGUGGCCAAGUGGCCAAAACCUAACAGUGCAAGGGGUGACUGAAGUGCAGGCAGAUUGGAAGGGCAUGGAAGCUCCUACCAUAGGAAUGACCUGAACGGUCUCGGUCUUCUCCUGCCUGUGAUGCUGGUGGGUGAGCAGAGUGGACUCUAGAGCUUGACUCGGAUCUAGUCCUAAGUGUCUACAUCCUGCCCUGUGCCUUUGGCAAGGUUGUGUGCCUGUCUAGGUCAUCUCACUUUUCCCAUCAGGACACACUCCAGGAUGGUUGUGAGUAGGUACAGAAUGGCAGGGUAAGCAUGGCAUACACCAGUCCUUGCACAGCACAGACUUGGGACGCUGAGCAGAGGGCUUAGCAAAGCAAAAAGAAAGGCACUCAUCAUGACGUAACCAUAACAAAUGACUGUACCGAACAUCUACCUUCACCACUUUUUUUUUUCUGCUUUAAAGCUUUAUUUACCACAUCCUAAGAAUGUACUCUGGAAAUGCAGCGAAAUCUAAAGCUUUUCAAAUACCAAGCUAAACACUCUGGGUGUGAUGAGAUUGUUACUAAAACAAAACCCCCAAACCAGAAACCAUGAUAGUACAUGGCAAUACCCUUAACCCUUAAUGCCAGGGAAAUACAGCAGAGAUUUUUACUUUUUGAAAUUGUGCUUUCCAGCAUCACCUUUAAAAAUAAUGCUUUAUGUAGCAUUUCAAAGCACUACAGUUUGUAUCUUUAAAUAUUGAAUAUAAUUUUAAAAAUAGUACCCUA